Molecule: transfer RNA, 72 nt
Filed under: Heterodermia speciosa
Lineage: Eukaryota; Fungi; Ascomycota; Lecanoromycetes; Caliciales; Physciaceae
Also listed under: 1 other name
Rfam family: tRNA
About the family: Transfer RNA (tRNA) molecules are approximately 80 nucleotides in length. Their secondary structure includes four short double-helical elements and three loops (D, anti-codon, and T loops).
Source: Rfam by way of RNAcentral
AGCAGCAUGGCGCAGCGGAAGCGCGCCGGGCUCAUAACCCGGAGGACUCAGGAUCGAAACCUGAUGCUGCUA